UACAGAGGUCUCAAGCGUUGUUCGGAUUCAUUGGGCGUAAAGGGUGCGUAGGUGGCGCGCUAAGUCAGGUGUGAAAUUUCGGAGCUUAACUCCGAAACUGCAUUUGAUACUGGCGUGCUUGAGGACUGGAGAGGAGACUGGAAUUCAUGGUGUAGCAGUGAAAUGCGUAGAGAUCAUGAGGAGGACCAGUGGCGAAGGCGGGUCUCUGGACAGUUCCUGACACUGAGGCACGAAGGCCAGGGGAGCAAACGGG
RNAcentral lists this ribosomal RNA (253 nucleotides) under uncultured bacterium. RNAcentral's name for it is "partial 16S ribosomal RNA". It matches the Rfam family "Bacterial small subunit ribosomal RNA", at positions 524 to 776 of the family's 1533-position model. The record is from RNAcentral.